This 1285-nucleotide long non-coding RNA is filed under the name Struthio camelus australis. RNAcentral's name for it is "lncRNA (ENSSCUG00000011040.1)". The record is from RNAcentral. Lineage: Eukaryota; Metazoa; Chordata; Aves; Struthioniformes; Struthionidae.
AUGAGGUUCGGCUGGUGCCUGUAGAGGACGUGUCACACAGGAGGGGAACCGCAGGGUAGGAAGGAAACUUGGGACCCCGGUGUAAUUUAAGUAACCCAGGGAAAUGCUGCCAGUGGCUGGGAAUGAAAAUGAGCUCUUCAGAGACUCCAGAGCUGUUUGUGUUGUGGAGGAUCGACUCCCAGCCAAGCCCUGGCAUCCACGCAGGACCUGACAGGCUGCCUUGUGGGUGUCCUAGGCAGUCCAAGAACUACAGUACUAGCCUUUGUUGUCACUCAGAUUUGGGGAGCAGGAUGUCAAAAAGGCAAAGGAAAGAGGUGUGGCCAUAGACCUAUUAUCCCUCCUUAUCAGCCCAUGGAGCUGGGCCAGUACCUGAGGGAAGAGCGUGGAGUGUGAUUGCUCUGCUCCCAUGGAGAGAGGGUGCAUGCCUUGAGACUGUAGCUGGGUGGUUUUACUAUCCUGCCAAAAAUUUAGAAAUUUCCCUCUUUGUAUCAGGAUGAAACAAGCAUUUUAAGAUGGUUCUGGAGAAGCCUAAUACCUAUAGGUUAUUAGGACACUCACCUGGACAGAGACCCAAGCUCCAAGCCCUGGUUUUGCUUGAUAGAAAUGGGACAUUUGAACUUGCCGUAUGUUACAGGUAUCCCCUAUUCACCAUCCUACUUGUUUUUUGGGGGUGAUGUUUUCUUCAUCUCUCUGAACAUCUCUUUCCUCCACCCUGUAUGAAUUAUUUAGGCAGUCGGAAAGAGGUCAAGCAGAAGAAGUGAGAGACACUAUCUUGGGUUAAGGGAAUCUGAGACUGUGGACCCAACACCAGAGUCUGAGCAGAUCUACUGGGAACCAUAAUCUUGAAAUCUGGUGCCACUGGGAGGGGUAUGAACUUGGUCUGGAAAGCUCAUGCUGUCCACAGGAGUUUACAUCAAUGCUAUGCUCUGCUGCUGGAGGUCCGAUGGUCAUCUUCCUAAACAGUAGUUCUCACAUGUGUGCACAUUUAUAUUCGGACAAAUGGAAGAUUGGUUUUUGCACCUUAAAUUCAGUUUGGGUGCAAAUCCCUGGGUUUCAUCAAUCAAGACUUGUAAGUGCAAGCAGGGAAUCGGACAGAAAACGUAGCCAGUUAGUGGAAUCCUUCAUAUGGCAAGUGGACUGGGGAGAGGGGCAGCACGCAUGCACGUGUGCAUGUGUGUGUGUGUGUGUGUUUGUGUGUGUGUUUGUGUCUGCACGCAUAUACCUCUCCGCAGCCAAGAGCCAAAGUAAAACCCCACCAUCUCUCAAGAGCUGCACUAUCAGGUGA